UACGAAGGGGGCUAGCGUUGCUCGGCAUCACUGGGCGUAAAGGGUGCGUAGGCGGGUCUUUAAGUCAGGGGUGAAAUCCUGGAGCUCAACUCCAGAACUGCCUUUGAUACUGAGGAUCUUGAGUUCGGGAGAGGUGAGUGGAACUGCGAGUGUAGAGGUGAAAUUCGUAGAUAUUCGCAAGAACACCAGUGGCGAAGGCGGCUCACUGGCCCGAUACUGACGCUGAGGCACGAAAGCGUGGGGAGCAAACAGG
RNAcentral lists this ribosomal RNA (253 nucleotides) under uncultured bacterium. RNAcentral describes it as "partial 16S ribosomal RNA". It matches the Rfam family "Bacterial small subunit ribosomal RNA", at positions 524 to 776 of the family's 1533-position model. The record is from RNAcentral.